AAUCAUCUUCUUUGUGCAUUUCAAAUGUAUGUUAUAUUCAUUGGUCUACAUAUGUAUCAUAAAAACAUAUAACAAGAUGUUUCACGUUUGAUGGUUGUGUUAACAAAAAUACUCUCAAUGUUAUACUUAAUUCCAUGCCUACGGGCUUAAUUUUUAAAAUUAAAAAAAAAAAGCAAAUUUUGUUAUUUCUAGAAAUUUAUAAUCAUAAUAUAAAAGAAGCUUUAUGUUUGAAAGUUUGGUGCUUAAAUGUUUAUGUUAUAAAUACUUCCAAGUCAUUUUGAUUGACAUAGUUAGUUUUUCUAUAAAAAAUUUAUUGGCACAUGCUACCCAUCAACUAGUACUUACAAGAGGGUGUAGACCUGAUAAAUCUGAAAAACCUGAAUCACAAGAUUUUACUAAAGAUGCAAACAAAUUACUUUUGAUAGUGUUGAUCACAGAUGGAAGUUGCAUGGUCUCAAUUAUGCACAAAUUAUUUGAGUAUUUAAUAGUGGUAACGGCAUGUAAUUCUUUAUUGUACCAUGCUUGGUAGGCUAGUACACACUUAUUUUAGGGUGGUUGCUUCUAGGCAAGCCUCUUAUCCCUAAGCUGUCAUUUAGGCACCUUAUUAAGUUGGCCCUUAAUUACAUGUUGAUGUUAUGGAUGUUCCAAAGUAUUAAAAAAAUUAUUUUUAUAAAUGAAUAAACAACAAAAUACACAAUUGGCAUGGGUUGGGUUGGGUAUAGAUCAAGAGUUUUUCUUGCCUGGACCAUAAUCCAUGCAAGAAUUUUCCAUGGAUCAGAUGGGUUUAGAAGUCGACAAGUUACUUCAAAAAUGAUUUAGCACUGGAUUUAACUCAUGACAAGAAUUGUUUAACCUAGUAAUUUAAAGAAAGGAAAAUUUUUGUAUUCUGAAAAUCGUAUCCUAUGUAUGGCUGUAUGCCACCAAACCAAAGACCACUGUGGCCUUCUUUGUCUCAUUUCAUAACCUGAGAGUAACCUGUUGUUUAAAAUCUACAAUUUUACAAGAAUUCAAUUCAAU
This 1017-nucleotide unclassified non-coding RNA is filed under the name Hevea brasiliensis (rubber tree). The record is from RNAcentral. Lineage: Eukaryota; Viridiplantae; Streptophyta; Magnoliopsida; Malpighiales; Euphorbiaceae.